AUGUUCGAAGAGCUGAAAAUGGUUUUCCAAGCUCAUGCCCGGGUCGAGAGAUAUGAAGUCUCCGACAAAUUCUUCAGUUGUAAGAUGGAGGGAAAUAGUUCUGUCAGUGAGCACAUACUCAAAAUGUCUGGGUUGCACAACCGCUUGACUCAGCUGGGAGUUAAUCUUCCGGAUGACGCAGUUAUUGACAGAAUCCUUCGGUCGCUUCCACCGAGCUACAAGAGCUUUGUGAUGAACUUCAAUAUGCAGGGGAUGGAAAAGACCAUUCCUGAAGUAUAUUCAAUGCUGAAAUCAGCAGAGGUAGAGAUCAAAAAGGAACAUCAAGUGUUGAUGGUGAAUAAAACCACUAAGUUCAAGAAAGGCAAGGGUAAGAAGAACUUCAAGAAGGACGGCAAGGAAGUUGCCGCGCCCGAUAAGCCAGUUGCCGGGAAGAAGUCAAAGAAUGGAUCCAAGCCUGAGACUGAGUGCUUUUAUUGCAAAGGGAAGGGUCACUGGAAGCGGAACUGCCCCAAAUACUUAGCGGACAAGAAGGCUGGCAACACUAAAGGUAUAUUUGAUAUACAUGUAAUUGAUGUGUACCUUACCAGUACUCGUAGUAGCUCCUGGGUAUUUGAUACCGGUGCCGUUGCUCAUAUUUGUAACUCAAAGCAGGAGCUGCAGAAUAAGCGGAGACUGGCGAAGGACGAGGUGACGAUGCGCGUCGGGAAUGGUUCCAAGGUCGAUGUGAUCGCCGUCGGCACGCUACCUCUACAUUUACCUACAGGAUUAGUUUUAAACCUCAAUAAUUGUUAUUUAGUGCCAGCUUUGAGCAUGAACAUUGUAUCUGGAUCUCGUUUAAUACGAGAUGGCUACUCAUUUAAAUCCUAG
This 867-nucleotide ribosomal RNA is filed under the name Triticum aestivum (bread wheat). RNAcentral describes it as "partial small subunit ribosomal RNA". Lineage: Eukaryota; Viridiplantae; Streptophyta; Magnoliopsida; Poales; Poaceae. The record is from RNAcentral.